AGAGUUUGAUCAUGGCUCAGAACGAACGCUGGCGGCGCGCUUAACACAUGCAAGUCGAACGAGAAGCCGUAGCAAUACGGUUGUAAAGUGGCAAACGGGUGAGUAACGCAUGGGUAACCUACCCUCAGGUGGGGAAUAACUCCCCGAAAGGGGAGCUAAUGCCGACGAUACCCAUCGGUCUCAUAAGAGGCCGCUGGAAAGCCGAACCGAGGGUUCGGCGCCUAAGGAUGGGCUCAUGUCCUAUCAGCUUGUUGGCGGGGUAACGGCCCACCAAGGCUGCGACGGGUAGCUGGUCUGAGAGGACGACCAGCCACACUGGCACUGCGACACGGGCCAGACUCCUACGGGAGGCAGCAGUGAGGAAUCUUGCGCAAUGGACGACAGUCUGACGCAGCGACGCCGCGUGGGGGAUGAAGGCCUUCGGGUUGUAAACCCCUUUCAGGAGGGAAGAUGGGACGGGCAACCGUUCGGACGGUACCUCCAGAAGCAGCCACGGCUAACUCUGUGCCAGCAGCCGCGGUAAGACAGAGGUGGCAAGCGUUGUUCGGAUUUACUGGGCGUAAAGGGUGCGUAGGUGGUUAGGUAAGACCUGUGGGAAAGACCUGGGCUUAACCCAGGAAGGUCGCAGGUGACUGCCUAGCUAGAGGGCGGGAGAGGAGCGCGGAAUUCCCGGUGUAGCGGUGAAAUGCGUAGAGAUCGGGAGGAAGGCCGGUGGCGAAGGCGGCGCUCUGGAACGUUCCUGACACUGAGGCACGAAAGCGUGGGGAGCAAACAGGAUUAGAUACCCUAGUAGUCC
Molecule: ribosomal RNA, 796 nt
Filed under: uncultured bacterium
Lineage: Bacteria
Description: bacterial SSU rRNA
Rfam family: Bacterial small subunit ribosomal RNA
Source: RNAcentral